This 665-nucleotide ribosomal RNA is filed under the name uncultured bacterium. RNAcentral describes it as "bacterial SSU rRNA". It matches the Rfam family "Bacterial small subunit ribosomal RNA", at positions 571 to 1235 of the family's 1533-position model. The record is from RNAcentral.
GUAGGUGGUUUGUUGCNUCGUCUGUGAAAUUCCGGGGCUUAACUUCAGGGUGGCAGGCGAUACGGGCAUAACUAGAGUGCUGUAGGGGAGACUGGAAUUCCUGGUGUAGCGGUGGAAUGCGCAGAUAUCAGGAGGAACACCGAUGGCGAAGGCAGGUCUCUGGGCAGUAACUGACGCUGAGGAGCGAAAGCAUGGGGAGCGAACAGGAUUAGAUACCCUGGUAGUCCAUGCUGUAAACGGUGGGCGUUAGGUGUGGGGACCGGUUUGGUUUCUGUGCCGUAGCUAACGCAUUAAGCGCCCCGCCUGGGGAGUACGGCCGCAAGGCUAAAACUCAAAGGAAUUGACGGGGGCCCGCACAAGCGGCGGAGCAUGUGGAUUAAUUCGAUGCAACGCGAAGAACCUUACCUGGGUUUGACAUGCACCAGACGGUUGUAGAGAUACGUACCUCCCUUUGUGGUUGGUGUGCAGGUGGUGCAUGGUUGUCGUCAGCUCGUGUCGUGAGAUGUUGGGUUAAGUCCCGCAACGAGCGCAACCCUUGUCUUAUGUUGCCAGCACUUUGGGUGGGGACUCAUGAGAGACUGCCGGGGUUAACUCGGAGGAAGGUGGGGAUGACGUCAAAUCAUCAUGCCCUUUAUGCCCAGGGCUUCACACAUGCUACAAUGGUU